RNAcentral lists this long non-coding RNA (777 nucleotides) under Calidris pugnax (ruff). RNAcentral's name for it is "lncRNA (ENSCPUG00000018324.1)". Lineage: Eukaryota; Metazoa; Chordata; Aves; Charadriiformes; Scolopacidae. The record is from RNAcentral.
CUGUUGCUUAGGAAGGCAAGCACUGCUUAAACUUCCCUUCUCUCUACUCCGCCUUUCAGAAGGGCUUUGACUUUGAUGGGAUUUUUAAAUUCUUCUUUCUUCCACAUGGACUAUUGCAUUUGUUCACUUUAUUCCUAUUGUUUUACAGUCCUCAGAAGUUGUUCCAAAUAAAGGGAGACAGUACUCUGCCUAACCGACAGCCUCCUUCAAUCCUAAUAGCAACAUCACUUAAUGCUGGAGCCUGAUUUGCUAAUGAGAGUCUGAAUGACAAAUAUCGGAGCCUCUUGAAGGAAAGUCAGCCGUAUCCAAAAAGUGUCAAGAAACAGAGAAACGAUCUAUGGUCAUUAAAACCCAGAGGCACUAGGUACCAGAACCCAUGCUUUGCUACUGUGUGACCCAGAAUGUUUACAGCAAUACGAAGUAACAUCAGAAUGAAGUUUUCAAUAACCUUAUUCUGACUCCUUAUGAAGACUUUCCAGAAGUCCUCAGAGAUGCAUCACAGAUCACAGCUAUCUUAUUGUCACGACCUUGGACAGAUGGGAGUGAUUCCUUCAGUGCUGCCAUUCCAGCGGAGAUUGCAGUAGGGUCUCCUUCCAUACAAGUUGCUACAUUGGAGCAGAUCCUCUGGCUGUGUUUCCUGUCAUUAGGAGUUGCCCCAGCUAGAUGUCCGUGAGGAGACGGUAAGAAAUCCACCCACUCAGCUGCCAAACAUGCACAUUUCACUGGUUUCUUGAACACACUUUCCUGUUGUGGAAAUGUGCUAUGCCUGACUAGGUA